This 327-nucleotide ribosomal RNA is filed under the name uncultured eukaryote. Its description in RNAcentral is "partial 18S ribosomal RNA". It matches the Rfam family "Eukaryotic small subunit ribosomal RNA", at positions 1470 to 1796 of the family's 1831-position model. The record is from RNAcentral.
CCCUUAGAUGUUCUGGGCUGCACACGUGCUACACUGGCAGGUUCAGCGAGCUUCAUGCCCUGAUCUGAAAGGAAUGGGAAAUCUUUUCAAAACCUGCCGUGCUUGGGAUAGAUGUUUGCAAUUAUUCAUCUUCAACGAGGAUUGCCUUGUAAGCGCACGUCAUCAGCGUGCAUUGAAUACGACCCUGUAUUCUGUACACACCGCCCGUCGCACCUACCGAUUGAGUGGUCCGGUGAAGUCUCGAGAUUGUGGCAAUCUCCUUUAUUGGAGUUUGACUGCGAGAACUUGCCUAAACCUUAUCACUUAGAGGAAGGUGAAGUCGUAACA